CAUUUAGGAAAUGUUAUUGAUUCACAGCAAAGUACAGUGCAUAGGUAGGAAAUAAUGUGAAUUUUAUAAGGAAAUGGGUUAGUAAUAGAAAUACUACAUCAGACUUUGGGCCUUCAGAAUUAUAUUUUUAAAUAAAUAAUACAGGAAUUAUUUUUGCCAACCUGUACUUAAAUGCACGCAAGGAUCCUUAUUAGUGCCUGUUAGUUGCUUGCUCUACAACAUCCUGAUGGGUUUUAAUUCUUCUAUACCUAGGAGCAAGUGUAGCUUAAACAGUAAAGCUUUUGAGAGCUGAGAUAAUAAAAGAUUUUUUUCCAUCUCAUUCAAUCACGUUUACAAAGCAUACUUGUAGGGAGAAAGUCACUAUCAUAUAAACGAUAAUGCUUUGUAUUUUUAACAAAACCAUGCUGGUAUGUUUUGUGUUACUCCUUUUUUACAAGUAAAUUUUUUUUCUUGAAAUAAGAAAAUAAAAGCAUUAAUACUGUGAGGCUAGUUCAAAUGUGUGCUCUAACUGAUACUAUCAAAGUAAAGAAGGCACUUUUAAGAAUCAGGUUGUGUGAAUUAUGCUGGAUAUCUAUGAGCAUUAUUUUGAAGAGGCUUCAAAGCUUUCAGAAUGCAUAUAAAAUAUGGCAAAAUAACAAUAGAGAUCGUUUUUUUUCCCCUAAGUUUUAUCUUUUGCUUAUUUCCUUAACAGGUCGUUAAACUAAUUUUUUUUUUUUUCUGUUCAAGCCACACUGAACAGGACGCUUAGUUACUUGGUCACACAAAGGCUGGACAAGAUGAGGUGCCCAAAGAACACCUGUUGAAUUUAGACCUGCUGUUACUUGCUUGCUGUUCCAUUUGAACUUGUCAUGAGAAGUGGCAUAUCCUCAUUUGUUUUAUUAUCCUUCAAGCUGAAAUCUUCCCUAAAAGAUGGUAAUGUAGUCUGAGAUAGUACACCCUCAUCCACAGCCACUUGAGUGUAGAUCCACUGUGAAAUCAUUUCCCAUUUUGUAUAGGAGAUAAACUACAAUUUGCAGAUAACAUUCAAGUUAAUUAUCUCUUUUGAUUUGCACAUGUUACUUUUUGUUGCCCUUUACAUAUUGCUUUAAGCGCAAAAAGUUAUUUUAUAAUUACUUUGGCCCCCUGUUUUUUUUUUCUUUUUUUAAUUGUAAAAGCUCCAAGUUACAUGAGAUUGUAGUGUCAUGCAUUGGGUUAGAACUUCCUGAUCAGGUAUAAGUCAAAGAUCCUGGAAUUCAUGCAAAUAUUCAUAAGCUGUGACGUGACAAGAACUAGCAAGGAGAAUGAGUAUUUCAGUCACCAAGGCAGGGAGAUUUUUAUCAGCCAUUCUGUCUGAGCAAACGUACUGUGUCCAGCAGUCCAGUCUGAGGUCAUGGCUGCCCCAGAAUUUGGGCGGUUGGGGAUAUUUUGGGAUACUUUCAUUAGAAGGUACAGAGUACAGUUAAGAAACAGGCUUGGGGCGCCAGCAUAUGAUUAUGGCAAGACUGGCUGACCACUGGGAAAUUGCUGAGCCAACAGGCCGAGAGUCUGGUUGACCUCCCCUGGGGCCAAGUCCACAGAGAGUCACCACCCAACACACCUUCUGAGGGGUAAUCUGAAGCACUCAGUGUUCCAAAUACUCAUCUGAGCAACAGAUGUUUUUGUAAGACAAAAGUAUUGUACAUUUUCAAAGCCUCUGUUUAUGAAUCUUCUUGCCUUUCUAUUUUUAAAGGUGCCUGUAUCCAAAAAAAUAUCCCUUAUAUUUACUUUAGAAUGAUCCAGCGUCUUCGCUGCCUGUUUCACUGGUGGUUGUUGGGGGAGGGAGGGGGGCGGUGGGAGUUGUUGCAGAAAAGCUCUAACCACAAUGCGAAAGUCACUCACUUAGCAGGCUGCAAGUUACCAAGAGCCUGUUCAGAGAACCAUUAUAUAAAGCAGGAUAAUCGGAUAUAUCGCAGCCAUGAUCCUCAAAAAUUAAAAAAGUUUUCCAACCAUCUUGCUUAAAUACAGGAAACUGCGACAGCUUCAGGACAUCUAAGAUAAGAAUUAUAAACACAGAUUCUGAUACUUUGGAAAGCCUAAGGAAAAGUGACCUAAACGAAAAAGGGAGGAUAUUACGUAGAUCCUGCUCUUGGUAAGAAUACUGUUGCAAAAGGAUCAAAAGUACUUUUGAAUACAAUUUAUUGCUGUUGUUUUUGCUAAAUCAAAUAAAGGCUUUAAGCAAAAACAGGUUUCAAGCCUUC
Molecule: long non-coding RNA, 2216 nt
Organism: Prionailurus viverrinus (fishing cat)
Lineage: Eukaryota; Metazoa; Chordata; Mammalia; Carnivora; Felidae
Exons: 4
Source: RefSeq, a predicted model, not a curated record